This 70-nucleotide transfer RNA is filed under the name Salmo salar (Atlantic salmon). It matches the Rfam family "tRNA". From Rfam's summary of the family: Transfer RNA (tRNA) molecules are approximately 80 nucleotides in length. Their secondary structure includes four short double-helical elements and three loops (D, anti-codon, and T loops). Further hydrogen bonds mediate the characteristic L-shaped molecular structure. tRNAs have two regions of fundamental functional importance: the anti-codon, which is responsible for specific mRNA codon recognition, and the 3' end, to which the tRNAs corresponding amino acid is attached (by aminoacyl-tRNA synthetases). tRNAs cope with the degeneracy of the genetic code in two manners: having more than one tRNA (with a specific anti-codon) for a particular amino acid; and 'wobble' base-pairing, i.e. permitting non-standard base-pairing at the 3rd anti-codon position. The record is from Rfam by way of RNAcentral. Lineage: Eukaryota; Metazoa; Chordata; Actinopteri; Salmoniformes; Salmonidae.
UCCCGUGUGGCUCACUUGGUGGAGUGUGGCACUUGCAAUGCCAGUGUUGUGUGUUUGAUUCCCACGGGGG